RNAcentral lists this ribosomal RNA (422 nucleotides) under uncultured bacterium. RNAcentral describes it as "bacterial SSU rRNA". It matches the Rfam family "Bacterial small subunit ribosomal RNA", at positions 355 to 774 of the family's 1533-position model. The record is from RNAcentral.
UGAGGAAUAUUGGGCAAUGCCCGCAAGGGUGACCCAGCAACGCCGCGUGGAGGAUGAAUGUCGUAAGAUUGUAAACUCCUGUUAGAGGGGAAGAAUAGUACCGGUUGGACCGGUAUAUGACUGUACCCUCAGAGAAAGCCCCGGCUAACUACGUGCCAGCAGCCGCGGUAAUACGUAGGGGGCAAGCGUUGUCCGGAUUUACUGGGUGUAAAGGGCGCGCAGGCGGGAUGGAAAGUCAGUGGUGAAAUCCUACAGCUUAACUGUAGAACUGCCUUUGAUACUUUCGUUCUUGAGUUCGGGAGAGAGAGACGGAAUUCCAGGUGUAGUGGUGAAAUACGUAGAUAUCUGGAAGAACACCAGUUGCGAAGGCGGUCUCUUGGUCCGAUACUGACGCUGAGGCACGAAAGCGUGGGGAGCAAACA